GUGAGGAAUUUUCCGCAAUGGGCGAAAGCCUGACGGAGCAAUGCCGCGUGAAGGAUGAAGGCCUAUGGGUUGUAAACUUCUUUUCUCAGAAAAGAAUUAUGACGGUAUCUGAGGAAUAAGCAUCGGCUAACUCUGUGCCAGCAGCCGCGGUAAGACAGAGGAUGCAAGCGUUAUACGGAAUGAUUGGGCGUAAAGCGUCUGUAGGUUGUUUACAAAGUAUUCUGUCAAAGAUUAGGGCUUAACCCUAGAUAGGCAGAAUAAACUUUUAAGCUAGAGUUUGGUAGAGGCAGGGGGAAUUCCCGGUGGAGCGGUGAAAUGCGUAGAUAUCGGGAGGAACACCAAAGGCGAAGGCACUCUGCUGGGCCAAUACUAACACUGAGAGACGAAAGCGAGGGGAGCAAAUGGGAUUAGAUACCCUAGUAGUCC
RNAcentral lists this ribosomal RNA (426 nucleotides) under uncultured bacterium. RNAcentral's name for it is "bacterial SSU rRNA". It matches the Rfam family "Bacterial small subunit ribosomal RNA", at positions 354 to 796 of the family's 1533-position model. The record is from RNAcentral.